RNAcentral lists this ribosomal RNA (329 nucleotides) under uncultured eukaryote. Its description in RNAcentral is "partial 18S ribosomal RNA". It matches the Rfam family "Eukaryotic small subunit ribosomal RNA", at positions 1470 to 1796 of the family's 1831-position model. The record is from RNAcentral.
CCCUUAAAUGUUCUAGGCCGCACGCGCGCUACACUGAUACAAGCACCAAGCAAUCUCCUAGGUCGAAAGAUCCGGGUAAUCUUGUGAAAUUGUAUCGUGAUAGGGCUUGACGAUUGUAAUUAUUUGUCACAAACGAGGAAUUCCUAGUAAGCGCAAGUCAUCAACUUGCACUGAUUACGUCCCUGCCCUUUGUAUACACCGCCCGUCGCUCCUACUGAUUGAAUGUUAAGGCGAAUGCUCCGGAAUUGCCGUUCGGAUUGGGCAACCUUUCUGAACCAACGAUGAAACUGUGUAAGCCUUGACAUUUAGAGGAAGGAAAANUCGUAACA